RNAcentral lists this ribosomal RNA (461 nucleotides) under uncultured bacterium. RNAcentral describes it as "partial 16S ribosomal RNA". It matches the Rfam family "Bacterial small subunit ribosomal RNA", at positions 338 to 795 of the family's 1533-position model. The record is from RNAcentral.
CCUACGGGGGGCUGCAGUGAGGAAUAUUGGUCAAUGGGCUUACGCCUGAACCAGCCAAGUCGCGUGAGGGAAGACUGCCCUAUGGGUUGUAAACCUCUUUUGUCAGGGAGCAACGCCGGCUACGUGUAGCCGGACUGAGAGUACCUGAAGAAAAAGCAUCGGCUAACUCCGUGCCAGCAGCCGCGGUAAUACGUAGGUGGCAAGCGUUGUUCGGAAUAACUGGGCGUAAAGGAUGCGUAGGCGGUUAAACAAGUUAUAUGUUAAAUAUAUAGGCUUAACCUGUAGAAAGCAUAUAAAACUGUUUAACUAGAGUGCAGGAGAGGUAAGUGGAAUUCCUAGUGUAGCGGUGAAAUGCGUAGAGAUUAGGAAGAACACCAGUGGCGAAGGCGACUUACUGGACUGUAACUGACGCUGAGGCAUGAGAGCAUGGGGAGCAAACAGGAUUAGAUACCCUAGUAGUC